CCCAGACUCCUACGGGAGGCAGCAGUGGGGAAUAUUGCACAAUGGGGGAAACCCUGAUGCAGCGACGCCGCGUGAGUGAAGAAGUAUUUCGGUAUGUAAAGCUCUAUCAGCAGGGAAGAAAAUGACGGUACCUGACUAAGAAGCCCCGGCUAACUACGUGCCAGCAGCCGCGGUAAUACGUAGGGGGCAAGCGUUAUCCGGAAUCACUGGGUGUAAAGGGAGCGUAGACGGUGAUGCAAGUCAGAAGUGAAAGCCCGGGGCUCAACUCCGGGACUGCUUUUGAAACUGUGUGACUGGAGUGCAGGAGAGGUAAGCGGAAUUCCUGGUGUAGCGGUGAAAUGCGUAGAUAUUAGGAGGAACACCAGUGGCGAAGGCGGCUUACUGGACUGUAACUGACGUUGAGGCUCGAAAGCGUGGGGAGCAAACAGGAUUAGAUACCCCCGUAC
This 446-nucleotide ribosomal RNA is filed under the name uncultured bacterium. Its description in RNAcentral is "bacterial SSU rRNA". It matches the Rfam family "Bacterial small subunit ribosomal RNA", at positions 330 to 793 of the family's 1533-position model. The record is from RNAcentral.